Molecule: unclassified non-coding RNA, 200 nt
Filed under: uncultured fungus
Lineage: Eukaryota; Fungi
Description: sequence contains ITS1
Source: RNAcentral
UUAUUAGGUUAUAAUAAGACUACGUUUGUUACAUUAAUUGUUUGUUAAAAAUGGGCAGACGAUGACUUGGCCAAAGACCUCAUCAUACGUCUUACAGUUCACAGGUGUUAGGAUGUGAUUUAAGCAAGGGCCUUGCCGAAGCGAAGACACCAAGCAUGUUUAAUUCACUAAUGAUCCUUCCGCAGGUUCACCUACGGAAA